This 236-nucleotide unclassified non-coding RNA is filed under the name Hevea brasiliensis (rubber tree). Lineage: Eukaryota; Viridiplantae; Streptophyta; Magnoliopsida; Malpighiales; Euphorbiaceae. The record is from RNAcentral.
GCAAAUCCUGAGCAACAAUGUAGCAAAGACCUACCAUAGUUGUGCCUUUUGAGUUAAUAUAUAUAUGUCAAAACUGUUGUUUGAUAAUUGCCUUCAACCUGCUUAGGAAUUAUUAGCUGGUAUAUAGAUGUUACAGUCAGUUGUAGCUCGUCUUGUCAAAUGCCAGAUUGAUCUUAUCUUUGCUUCUCAGCCAAACCAAGGCUUCCAAGCUCCUUUGCGUGGAGGCUGGUCUACCC